AACUUGAAUGUACACAGCAAAUUUCUGGAGUUGAAUAAUAUGGAGUUAGAUAAAAAAAAGUGUUGUUAGAUUUUUGAGUUUAUUUUCUAAAUUAGACUACAGGUUUUGUAAAGGGAUACUCUUUGAUGGUGUUAUAUUUCGGCAUUCAUUCAUUGGGUGUUGAGGAACGUGAUUCAACUACUCCUGGUGUUGAUUCAUAACAUUAACGUUACAGCUUUGUUGCUGCCGCGCCGAACAUUCUUCACUUGGACUUCGUUGUGAGGCAGAUUACUGUUAAGCGGUAGACUGUACGGCUAAGGACGAUAACGUUUACGGACCUACACUGAAGGAAUGACUUGACCUUGCUACCCUGAAGGAAUAGAACAGUGGCCAAGCUGUUGAUAAAGGUAAAAUGCAGAGGGAAAAAGAAAUAUGUUAAAAUGGAAGAAGUCAGCUUCUCAGACUUUACCAGUGCAGUGCAGCAGAAGUUUCUCAUAGCAGAAAGUACACUGCUAAAAGUCACAGAUGAGCAAGGCAUAGAGGUGGAUGAGGAUGUCUUUCCAGAACUUGCAACAGCCAAAGAAGUGUGUUUUGUCAUCUACACUGAUAAUGAGAUCCCACUAUCAGAAUCUUUCACAAACACGACUGUGCCGACCUGACAGAAUUUGUGACAUUUACACCUUGCAAUGUUACUGUCCUGCGGCAAGAAAGUGAAGGGCCUUACUCUCCAAGUUUAA
Sander lucioperca (pikeperch) is the source of this 716-nucleotide long non-coding RNA. RefSeq lists it as uncharacterized. NCBI's taxonomy places the organism in Eukaryota, Metazoa, Chordata, Actinopteri, Perciformes, Percidae. The record is from RefSeq and is a predicted model, not a curated record. The transcript is spliced from 6 exons.